UACGUGCGGGGCGAACGUUGUUCGGUGUCACUGGGCUUAAAGGGUGCGUAGGUGGUUGCGUAAGUAAGGUGUGAAAGCCCUCGGCUUACCCGGGGAAUUGCGCCUUAUACUGCGUGACUUGAGGAUUUCAGGGGAAUGGGGAACUCCAGGUGUAGCGGUGAAAUGCGCAGAUAUCUGGGGGAAGGCCGGCGGCGAAGGCGCCAUUCUGGGAAAUUCCUGACACUGAGGCACGAAAGCGUGGGGAGCAAACAGG
This 253-nucleotide ribosomal RNA is filed under the name uncultured bacterium. Its description in RNAcentral is "partial 16S ribosomal RNA". It matches the Rfam family "Bacterial small subunit ribosomal RNA", at positions 524 to 776 of the family's 1533-position model. The record is from RNAcentral.